RNAcentral lists this unclassified non-coding RNA (343 nucleotides) under soil metagenome. RNAcentral's name for it is "partial contains 5.8S ribosomal RNA, internal transcribed spacer 2, and large subunit ribosomal RNA". The stretch from base 1 to 120 matches the Rfam family "5.8S ribosomal RNA", at positions 35 to 154 of the family's 154-position model. The record is from RNAcentral.
GAUGAAGAACGUAGCGAAAUGCGAUAAGUAAUGUGAAUUGCAGAGUUCAGUGAAUCAUCGAAUCUUUGAACGCACAUUGCGCCCGCUAGUAUUCUGGCGGGCAUGCCUGUCCGAGCGUCAUUUCAACCCUCAAGCCCCCGGGCUUGGUGUUGGGGAUCGGCGAGCCUCCGCGCCCGCCGUCCCCUAAAUCUAGUGGCGGUCUCGCUGUAGCUUCCUCUGCGUAGUAGCACACCUCGCACUGGGAAACAGCGCGGCCACGCCGUUAAACCCCCAACUUCUGAACGUUUGACCUCGGAUCAGGUAGGAAUACCCGCUGAACUUAAGCAUAUCAAUAAGCGGAGGA